GGAGAGGUGACCGAGCGGCCGAAGGUGCAGCACUGGAAAUGCUGUGUAUAAGAAAUUGUACCGAGGGUUCGAAUCCCUCCCUCUCCG
Molecule: transfer RNA, 87 nt
Filed under: Planctomycetota bacterium
Lineage: Bacteria; Pseudomonadati; Planctomycetota
Description: tRNA-Ser
Rfam family: tRNA
About the family: Transfer RNA (tRNA) molecules are approximately 80 nucleotides in length.
Source: RNAcentral